This 475-nucleotide ribosomal RNA is filed under the name uncultured bacterium. RNAcentral describes it as "SSU rRNA". It matches the Rfam family "Bacterial small subunit ribosomal RNA", at positions 26 to 518 of the family's 1533-position model. The record is from RNAcentral.
AGGACGAACGCUGGCGGCGUGCUUAACACAUGCAAGUCGAACGGUAAGGCCUUUCGGGGUACACGAGUGGCGAACGGGUGAGUAACACGUGGGUGAUCUGCCCUGCACUUUGGGAUAAGCCUGGGAAACUGGGUCUAAUACCGAAUAUGACCAUUGGUUGCAUGACUGGUGGUGGAAAGCUUUUGCGGUGUGGGAUGGGCCCGCGGCCUAUCAGCUUGUUGGUGGGGUUAAGGCCUACCAAGGCGACGACGGGUAGCCGGCCUGAGAGGGUGUCCGGCCACACUGGGACUGAGAUACGGCCCAGACUCCUACGGGAGGCAGCAGUGGGGAAUAUUGCACAAUGGGCGCAAGCCUGAUGCAGCGACGCCGCGUGAGGGACGACGGCCUUCGGGUUGUAAACCUCUUUCAGUAGGGACGAAGCGCAAGUGACGGUACCUACAGAAGAAGGACCGGCCAACUACGUGCCAACAGCCGC